UACGAAGGGGGCUAGCGUUGUUCGGAAUUACUGGGCGUAAAGCGCACGUAGGCGGAUACUUAAGUCAGGGGUGAAAUCCCGGGGCUCAACCCCGGAACUGCCUUUGAUACUGGGUAUCUCGAGUCCGAGAGAGGUGAGUGGAAUUCCGAGUGUAGAGGUGAAAUUCGUAGAUAUUCGGAGGAACACCAGUGGCGAAGGCGGCUCACUGGCUCGGUACUGACGCUGAGGUGCGAAAGCGUGGGGAGCAAACAGG
RNAcentral lists this ribosomal RNA (253 nucleotides) under uncultured bacterium. RNAcentral describes it as "partial 16S ribosomal RNA". It matches the Rfam family "Bacterial small subunit ribosomal RNA", at positions 524 to 776 of the family's 1533-position model. The record is from RNAcentral.